UCCUCGAUAGUUUAACGGAUGAUUUCAGCUUGUCAUCUCAGAGAACAAGCGCGGGAGACCUGGUUCGACUCCCAGUCGGGGAG
This is a non-coding RNA of Aspergillus arachidicola, 83 nucleotides long. The record is from the annotation of a GenBank genome assembly. NCBI's taxonomy places the organism in Eukaryota, Fungi, Ascomycota, Eurotiomycetes, Eurotiales, Aspergillaceae.